CUGACUUGCGCUGCCGGCGGGAAGAAAGAGGCGCAUGCGUGGUAGCGCCCAGCUGGAGACCCGGAAGACAACCCGCUGAAAGAACAUGCACCGGAAGGAGUCCUGCUCGGCCUUCCUGUGAGAUGAAUACAGUACUUGUAGGUUUCAUAUUUUGAGAGCAGAACUGGCACUAUAUUGCUGAGGAUUGCACAUAAGGUCAGAAAAGUUAACACCUUUAUAAAUUUUGGACAGAUAAAAUUCAGUAAUAUUUUUCACACUAAAAUAUGGAAGCUAUAUUCAACAUGUGCCAUUUCUUUUAAGACAUGUUCAAAAUCUGUAAAAAAUUAUUUUCUAUAAAUUUUGGUCAACAUGCUUCAUUAAAACCUUUUCCAAGUUUUA
Molecule: long non-coding RNA, 378 nt
Organism: Crotalus tigris (Tiger rattlesnake)
Lineage: Eukaryota; Metazoa; Chordata; Lepidosauria; Squamata; Viperidae
Exons: 2
Source: RefSeq, a predicted model, not a curated record